RNAcentral lists this ribosomal RNA (427 nucleotides) under uncultured delta proteobacterium. RNAcentral describes it as "partial 16S ribosomal RNA". It matches the Rfam family "Bacterial small subunit ribosomal RNA", at positions 355 to 774 of the family's 1533-position model. The record is from RNAcentral. Lineage: Bacteria; Deltaproteobacteria.
UGGGGAAUAUUGCGCAAUGGGCGAAAGCCUGACGCAGCGACGCCGCGUGAGGGAUGAAGGUUUUCGGAUCGUAAACCUCUGUCAGAAGGGAAGAACUGUGCUUGUGCUAAUCAGCAGGCAUUUGACGGUACCUUCAAAGGAAGCACCGGCUAACUCCGUGCCAGCAGCCGCGGUAAUACGGAGGGUGCAAGCGUUAAUCGGAAUUACUGGGCGUAAAGCGUGCGUAGGCUGUUUGGUAAGUCAGUGGUGAAAUCCCCGUGCUCAACAUGGGAACUGCCAUUGAAACUGCCAGACUAGAGUGUGUGAGAGGAUAGCGGAAUUCCUGGUGUAGGAGUGAAAUCCGUAGAUAUCAGGAGGAACAUCAGUGGCGAAGGCGGCUAUCUGGCACACAACUGACGCUGAGGUACGAAAGCGUGGGGAUCAAACA